Molecule: transfer RNA, 86 nt
Filed under: marine eukaryotic metagenome
Rfam family: tRNA
About the family: Transfer RNA (tRNA) molecules are approximately 80 nucleotides in length.
Source: RNAcentral
GAGAGUUGGCUGAGUGGUCGAAAGCGCCUCACUGCUAACGAGGUAAGGGUUUAUAGCCCUUCAUGGGUUCGAAUCCCAUACUCUCC